This 2146-nucleotide long non-coding RNA is filed under the name Capsicum annuum. RNAcentral's name for it is "long non-coding RNA (CANN_LNC021994)". The record is from RNAcentral. Lineage: Eukaryota; Viridiplantae; Streptophyta; Magnoliopsida; Solanales; Solanaceae.
UCUAGUUUGGGUGCUAGUGGCCUUAUCGAUGGCAAGACGGGUACCAAUUGGCUCCACGAUGCGACAUAGAUCAUCCCAAACGUAGUGAUGCCAUGGAAAGUUAGUCCAAAUUGAGGCUGGAUUUUCAUUGUUUUCAGGUUUGAAACAGGAGGUCCAUUUGAUGAUUUUCAUAUUGUUUACCUUCAUGCCAUUACCAUUAGCUGUAGCUAUUAAUUGUAGUGUUGUUGCUUUAGUUGGACAUUCCAAUUGCUUCACUACUUCAGGAUCAAUGAAGUUACGGGAGCUUCCAGUGUCUACUAAUAUGUCCAGAGGUCUCUGUAAUGCCCCGUAAAAGUCGUGCAUUUACUAACUCUUAGUGGUGUGGUCAUAGACUUGAAAACAUGAAAAAAUUUUCUAAGUGUUAAAGGACUUAGACUCAUUUUUGGCUUGUAAUCUUCGGGGAUUUUAUUUUCAACCUUCCCGACCUCCGUUUUUAGAUUUUCUUGUUGCGCUACGAUGGGGCAAGGUCGUAGUACAUCUCAGGUAAGUUUCAAAAUUUUUGGACUAGCCUAAGGUCGUGUUUGGAUUGGCAAAACAGUAGCUAAAGGCGCUUGUGGGGGUGCCGCCCAAGGUUCACCCCCGCUCUAAGCGGGGCGCCGCCUGGUCUCUCCCCCGGUGAAAGCAAGGCGCCGCCCUGGGUUCUCCCAGGGUCUAAGCAGGGCGCCGCCCUGCCUAUCACGCCCAGACAAAUUUCAGUGCACUAUUCCGUCUCAUUAAGGGCAUUGUGGUAUAUUUCCAAAACCUUAUCAACUUAAACACGGGAUUACACUCCCCAUUGAGCAUAAUAUUGAUAUUUGCACCAAAAAUCCUCAAGAACACUCUCAAGGGUUUCAACCUAAAAACCCAAGUAGUUUGAGAUUUAACCGUAGGCUUUCGAAAUUGAUCGAAUAUUUGGAAUCCCCGCAACGUAGGCUUCAAGAAGCACCUAUUAACUCCGCAUAUAGAGGUAUGUGGGGUAAUCCUAAAAAUCUCAUGGCCUUAAAAAUUCAUGUUUUAAUAGUGGAGGUUUUGAAAUUAUGAAUAUAAUCAUGUUUUAAACGUUUCUAUGAUAUUGAUUUGGUCUUUAGGCCUAUUCCAAAGUGAUUUGAUAUAUUAUAUAUGUAUAUGCAUGUGUUUCGAAAAGAUGUUAACUUGAGAGCAUGAAUUAUAUGGAAUCCCUCUCUUGAUAUGAUUUUGUUCUAAAUUUUCAUAUGACGUGGAUUGUUUGAAAUCAUCUUGAAAAGCCUGACAUGAAAUGUUUUGAAAAUUGUUAUGAUUGGAUAUAAUUUUGACUUGCAAGGAGAGGGUUGUUUAUGUUGAAAUUUUGAAUAUAAUGAUUGAAUGAAAGAAUGAUGUGAUACUGAUGACUUGCAAGUCGGGUAUGACGAUACCCUACAGAAUAUGAUAUGUGAUUGAAUUAAAUGAAAUUGAAUGCAUUGAUUUUACAUGAGAUAGGUGGAUGCGUGUAAGGGCUCAUCGCUGGAAACUGUGUUAGCCAACAGGGGAAAUUGGUACCCUGCUUUGUGAUCUUGUGUACCUGAUAUAUAUAUUAUCCCACUUUGGGACUAUGGUUAGGAGCCCUGCUUUGUGAUCUUGUGCACUACCAUACUUCAUUGGGUCUAGACACCCUGCUGUGUGAUCUUGUGUGUCUUCCCCUCACUUAUACUCUAAUCUCAGCGGCAAUCGAGGUUUGACAGUUGGUGUAAAUGUGAUAUUGUAGGGUAUUCCACCUAGCUCAGCUGCAUUGCAUUGUUGUUGAAAAAUUAUUACAUUAUGCCUAUGUGUUUUCAAAUGAUUUGAUAAGAAACUGUUUUAAAAUGGCUCUAACUUAUACUUUGUAAGAAUAUUGUAUUUUUGUUUUGGAUUACUCUGCGUACCAGUACAUUUGUAUUGACCCCCUUCCCUCCCAGGUUCGGAGGCACAGUCUAGGGGUCCAGAAAAUCAGUAGAUUCGUCAGGCAGAUUCGCAGAGUCACUUGGUGAGCCUUCUAUAUUUCGGAAGGCCUGAUGUCUGGCAGAUCAUAUAUCAUUUAGUAGUUUUGGGUCUACUGGGGCCUUGUUCUAGUUUUCAGACAAUUAUUUGUUUCAGUCAUGUAGUAGAGAUUUCGCAGACGGUUGUUCAGAUGUCG